AUUGAACGCUGGCGGCAGGCUUAACACAUGCAAGUCGAGCGGGGAAAGGUAGCUUGCUACCGGACCUAGCGGCGGACGGGUGAGUAAUGCUUAGGAAUCUGCCUAUUAGUGGGGGACAACAUCUCGAAAGGGAUGCUAAUACCGCAUACGUCCUACGGGAGAAAGCAGGGGAUCUUCGGACCUUGCGCUAAUAGACGAGCCUAAGUCGGAUUAGCUAGUUGGUGGGGUAAAGGCCUACCAAGGCGACGAUCUGUAGCGGGUCUGAGAGGAUGAUCCGCCACACUGGGACUGAGACACGGCCCAGACUCCUACGGGAGGCAGCAGUGGGGAAUAUUGGACAAUGGGGGGAACCCUGAUCCAGCCAUGCCGCGUGUGUGAAGAAGGCCUUAUGGUUGUAAAGCACUUUAAGCGAGGAGGAGGCUACUUUAGUUAAUAUCUAGAGAUAGUGGACGUUACUCGCAGAAUAAGCACCGGCUAACUCUGUGCCAGCCGCCGCCGUAA
Molecule: ribosomal RNA, 501 nt
Filed under: uncultured bacterium
Lineage: Bacteria
Description: partial 16S ribosomal RNA
Rfam family: Bacterial small subunit ribosomal RNA
Source: RNAcentral